Long non-coding RNA from Spinacia oleracea (spinach), 1172 nucleotides. RefSeq lists it as uncharacterized. The record is from RefSeq and is a predicted model, not a curated record. NCBI's taxonomy places the organism in Eukaryota, Viridiplantae, Streptophyta, Magnoliopsida, Caryophyllales, Amaranthaceae. The transcript has 4 exons.
UUGGGGAAAAUGUGGGAAAUUUCGUGUCAAGUUUCGGGACGAAACUUCUUUUAAGAGGGGUAGAUUGUAAUCCCCCGUAAAUUUAUAAAUUUUAUUAAUAUAUUUUAACGUAUAUUAUUUAUAUUUAAAUAGAAUUUAUGAACUUUAGUAAUAAAUAUAUAAUUAACGUAUAUUUAUUUAUUACAUUUUAAUAUUUUCAACGAUUUACGAAAUCGAAAAUGAUUUUAGAAUUUUAAGUUAAAACGAAUUUGAAUUAUGAAAUUCCGUUCGAUUGAAAUUAGGAAACAAUCCUAAGCAGUGUUGAAUUCAAAUUCUAAAACUAAAUACUAAUCCUAGCCCAAUUAGAUUCCUAGCCCAUAAAAUAUCUAAGCCCCAACUAACCCCAAAAGUUUACUCACUAUUGUUUUCUCUCUCCUCUCAAACCCUCAUGAAGUCUCACGUAUUGCUCUCUCCUUUCACGUGAAACUCUCAAAGCACACAAACUCACAAACCCUCUCAUCCCUCUCCAGCCACCGCACCAGCCGCCGCACCAGCUGCCGCGCCACCGUCGCCCUUCGACGUCCGCACCACCACCCGCAGCACCGCUUGCACCGCCGCUGCGGCCCUGCCCAGUCGAUCUCCCUCCUUCCUCCUUCCUUGGCUCGCACGAGAUUGCAGCCACCUUCAACGUUCCUGCUUCUUGCUUGCUCAAUCACCCGCGACCACCAACACUAAUCGCGCCGCCCAGUCGCGUCGCCGCCCAGCCUGCGCCACCGCUGUCGUGCCCCUGCUCGCCGGCAGUCUCUCUCCUCCUCUCCUUUUGGAGGAGAAUUCUCUUUAGACGACUUUUGAAAGUAUUAAGGUGGCCUAUCAGUUUGUUUACACAAGUCUCUAAGGAUCAAUAAGCGUUGCCCAUCUACAGGUUUGAAGAUGAUGCAUCAUUGGGAUCGGGAUUAGAGAGCUUGUAGUUCUAUUUGUUUAGUUAAGUGAUUCAAUUUGUUAACUUGGAUUUGAAACUUGUCGUACUAUUCGUAUUUCCUUAUUUUCGUUUAUUGGUUUUUGGGAUUAAACCUGUAAUCAAUUACUUAUAAACCUCAAAUUAGUUUUAUGUUUUCCGCUGCAAAAUUCUGAAUAAGCCGUUACGUUUUCACACGGGCGAUAAUGCCUUGAUAAUUCUCUAUAUUUUAUAUUAA